UACGUAGGGUGCGAGCGUUAAUCGGAAUUACUGGGCGUAAAGCGUGCGUAGACGGUUAAGUAAGUCGGAUGUGAAAGCCCCGGGCUCAACCCGGGAAUUGCAUUCGAGACUGCGUAGCUAGAGUGCGAAAGAGGGUCGCGGAAUUCCCGGUGUAGAGGUGAAAUUCGUAGAUAUCGGGAGGAACACCGGUGGCGAAGGCGGCGACCUGGGUCGACACUGACGCUGAGGCGCGAAAGCGUGGGGAGCAAACAGG
This 253-nucleotide ribosomal RNA is filed under the name uncultured bacterium. RNAcentral's name for it is "partial 16S ribosomal RNA". It matches the Rfam family "Bacterial small subunit ribosomal RNA", at positions 524 to 776 of the family's 1533-position model. The record is from RNAcentral.